This 253-nucleotide ribosomal RNA is filed under the name uncultured bacterium. Its description in RNAcentral is "partial 16S ribosomal RNA". It matches the Rfam family "Bacterial small subunit ribosomal RNA", at positions 524 to 776 of the family's 1533-position model. The record is from RNAcentral.
CACGGGGGGAGCAAGCGUUGUUCGGAAUCACUGGGCGUAAAGGGCGUGUAGGCGGUCAGGUAAGUGGGACGUGAAAUGCCUCGGCUCACCCGAGGAGCGGCGUCCCAUACUGCUUGGCUUGAGUACGGGAGAGGAUGUGGGAAUUUCUGGUGUAGCGGUGAAAUGCGUAGAUAUCAGGAGGAACACCGGUGGCGAAGGCGCACAUCUGGCCCGAUACUGACGCUGAGGCGCGAAAGCUAGGGGAGCAAACGGG